RNAcentral lists this microRNA (19 nucleotides) under Pongo pygmaeus (Bornean orangutan). RNAcentral's name for it is "ppy-miR-626". Its record names the gene ppy-miR-626. Lineage: Eukaryota; Metazoa; Chordata; Mammalia; Primates; Hominidae. The record is from miRBase by way of RNAcentral.
AGCUGUCUGCAAAUGUCUU